Lynx canadensis (Canada lynx) is the source of this 1480-nucleotide long non-coding RNA. RefSeq lists it as uncharacterized. The record is from RefSeq and is a predicted model, not a curated record. The transcript is spliced from 3 exons. NCBI's taxonomy places the organism in Eukaryota, Metazoa, Chordata, Mammalia, Carnivora, Felidae.
CCUCCUGAACCCAUCUCACACCAGGGCUUCCGGUGAGGCCUCCGGAAACCAUAGAGACGCCACUGGAGGGCUAGAGAGGCAGAAAGACUGCCACCAUAGAGUAGAGGCCAGUCCGGGGAGAGAGUUGCAGGACUUGGAAGACUAAGUUGUGAAGUUUCAAGAGAAAACGUUUGAGGAGCUCGCAGAGUCUGAUGGUAUUUACAGAUGUGUCCUAGGACAUCAAAAAUCGAGGAUGGAAGAAACCUAAUAGCGUAGUCAGAGGAAGCCUUCCGCUCUUCCAAAAAACACCACUCCCUCUGUUUCUCAAAGUUAACGUAUUCAUUCUUAUUCCCCAGAGAUAGUGGCUGCAGAGGGCAAACGGCAUCUUAAUGUUGUCGCUAAUUGGGGGAAAUAGAACUAGGAUAUACACGAAUAACAGCAAGAUAUGUGAUAAAUGCUGGAAGAGGUGCAAAGAACGAGGGAGGUGGAGCUUCUUUGGAUCAGCAACCCGGUCAUCGAGUCCCAAUAUAAAAGCUCCUGCCACAAACCUCUCAGGUUGGCCGACUUCCACCUCAGAAGGUGCCAAAUGAUAAACAUUUGUUGAACACCUACUGUGUGCCAAACACCAACCUAGAAGAUUCCAAAACAAGUAACACCUGGAAUCUGUCUAGUGGAGGACUCAGACAGUCCAGGACAAAUUCCUAAAAGUGACAUUGCUGGGCCUGAACAACCACUCCUAAAGUGUUGAAAUUAGGCAGAUGGAUUAAGGGAGAGCAACACCAGCGAACAGAAAUUCUUUAAUGUUUCACCCUGAGCCCCAUGGUGGAUAAGUCUCAAAGCCGGCCCUAUAGCAGAAGGCAGUGCUCAGAUCACUGAUGGCAGUGGAAGAGAAGAGCCUCGAAUGCCAUGAUCAGUAAGACCUCUCUGCAGGCACGCUCAGCUUUCUUGUCUCUCUGGCUGGCAGGGCUUGUACCCCCAGGAUCACUGCUGGUGACUUCAUCCAGGGUUUGCAUCAUUUAAAAUUAUUUGGACGUCUUCAAGGGACCUGCGGGACAAUCACACUAUCCCUCUGCAGGGUCCUUUCUCCCAGUUUGUACUCUGCAGUUCAACCCAGUAGCUUCCCAGCAGCAUAUUUAUACUCUUCUCCUAGACUCUUUUCUUCUUUUCUGUUGUCGGGUCAGUUUUAGAACUGAUAUCCACGUGAUUAUCAAUAAUAAAAGAGACCUGAUGCCACCACAACGCUUCAAAAGUGAUGUACCUUGCCGUUCUCUUAAUCCUGGAUGUGUUGGAUUGAUUACAAAUCAAAGAAGCCUACGUAAUAAUGGCUAUUGGGCACAUAAAUACCUCUCAGUUCUGAAGUAGCUGCUAACGCUGCUGACAAGUACAUGACUCAGGUCUUCUGUUUCUCUUUGUUGUAUGAAUCGUGAGCUUUCUUGGGUUUAAAACGGUUUCACAAAAUGUAGAUGGAAGGAAGCGAUUACGCAAGGUUCUUUAUUCUUAU